GAGGGCAGCAGAGGGAGGUGGAAUUCCCGGUGUAGCGGUGUAAUGCGUAGAGAUCGGGAGGAACACCAGUGGCGAAGGCGGCCUCCUGGGCUGCUUCUGACGCUGAAUGCGAAAGCUAGGGUAGCGAACGGGAUUAGAAACCCCGGUAGUCCUAGCUGUAAACGAUGGAUGCUAGGUGUAGGAGGUAUAGAUCCCUUUUGUGCCGAAGCUAACGCGAUAAGCAUCCCGCCUGGGGACUACGGCCGCAAGGCUAAAACUCAAACGAAUUGACGGGGGCCGGCACAAGCAGCGGAGCGUGUGGUUUAAUUCGAUGCUACACGAAGAACCUUACCUGGGUUUGACAUGUAGGUAGUAGUGAAGCGAAAGCGGAACGAACCUUCGGGGAGCCUACACAGGUGCUGCAUGGCUGUCGUCAGCUCGUGCCGUGAGGUGUCGGGUUAAGUCCCGUAACGAGCGCAACCCCUGUCCUUAGUUACAAGUGUCUAAGGAGACUGCCGGCGACAAGCCGGAGGAAGGUGGGGAUGACGUCAAGUCAGCAUGGCCUUCUAUGUUCAGGGCGUACACACCCGCUACAAUGGCCGGUACAAUGGGUUGCCAAGACCGUGAGGCGGAGCUAAUCCCCCAAAACCGGUCUCAGUUCGGAUUGUGGGCUGCAACUCGCC
Molecule: ribosomal RNA, 662 nt
Filed under: uncultured organism
Description: bacterial SSU rRNA
Rfam family: Bacterial small subunit ribosomal RNA
Source: RNAcentral